This 254-nucleotide ribosomal RNA is filed under the name uncultured bacterium. RNAcentral's name for it is "partial 16S ribosomal RNA". It matches the Rfam family "Bacterial small subunit ribosomal RNA", at positions 524 to 776 of the family's 1533-position model. The record is from RNAcentral.
UACGUAGGGGGCGAGCGUUGUCCGGAAUCAUUGGGCGUAAAGCGCGUGUAGGCGGCCCGGUAAGUCCGCUGUGAAAGUCCAGGGCUCAACCCUGGGAUGCCGGUGGAUACUGUCGGGCUCGAGUCCGGAAGAGGCGAGUGGAAUUCCUGGUGUAGCGGUGAAAUGCGCAGAUAUCUGGAGGAAUACCGGUGGCGAAGGCGGCAUCCUGGACCGGCAUUGACGCUGAGUGAGCGAAAGCUAGGGGAGCAAACGGG